GACGAACGCUGGCGGCGUGCUUAACACAUGCAAGUCGAACGGAAAGGCCCUGCUUUUGUGGGGUGCUCGAGUGGCGAACGGGUGAGUAACACGUGAGUAACCUGCCCUUGACUUUGGGAUAACUUCAGGAAACUGGGGCUAAUACCGGAUAGGAGCUCCUGCUGCAUGGUGGGGGUUGGAAAGUUUCGGCGGUUGGGGAUGGACUCGCGGCUUAUCAGCUUGUUGGUGGGGUAGUGGCUUACCAAGGCUUUGACGGGUAGCCGGCCUGAGAGGGUGACCGGCCACAUGGGGACUGAGGUACGGCCCAGAAUCCUACGGGAGGCAGAAGGGGAGAAUAUUGCACAAUGGGGGGAAGCCUGAUGCAGAGACGCCGCGUGCGGGAUGACGGCCUUCGGGUUGUAAACCGCUUUCGCCUGUGGCGAAGCGUGAGUGACGGUAAUGGGUAAGGAAGCCCCGGCUAACUACGUG
This 468-nucleotide ribosomal RNA is filed under the name uncultured bacterium. RNAcentral describes it as "partial 16S ribosomal RNA". It matches the Rfam family "Bacterial small subunit ribosomal RNA", at positions 28 to 507 of the family's 1533-position model. The record is from RNAcentral.